This 62-nucleotide transfer RNA is filed under the name Elseya lavarackorum. RNAcentral describes it as "tRNA-Ser". Lineage: Eukaryota; Metazoa; Chordata; Testudines; Chelidae. The record is from RNAcentral.
GAAAGAGAUACAAUAAAAGCUGCUAACUUUUAUAACUGAGGCUAAAACCCCAGCUCUUUCAC